CUGCAAAGAUGAGAUUCCUGAACUCUCUCUUUCUGAUGGUGAAGUGGAGAAGCUUUUCACAAGGUUCUGAGUGGC
Small nucleolar RNA from Anser brachyrhynchus (Pink-footed goose), 75 nucleotides. Its record names the gene SNORD26. It matches the Rfam family "Small nucleolar RNA SNORD26". Rfam says of the family: U26 is a member of the C/D class of snoRNA which contain the C (UGAUGA) and D (CUGA) box motifs. NCBI's taxonomy places the organism in Eukaryota, Metazoa, Chordata, Aves, Anseriformes, Anatidae. The record is from Ensembl.